Anneissia japonica is the source of this 226-nucleotide long non-coding RNA. RefSeq lists it as uncharacterized. The transcript is spliced from 3 exons. The record is from RefSeq and is a predicted model, not a curated record. NCBI's taxonomy places the organism in Eukaryota, Metazoa, Echinodermata, Crinoidea, Comatulida, Comatulidae.
GUAAUUGCUGGUUUUAUCUGUUAAAAACCCAUUUCUGAAGUUUGAUAUCAUGCUGUAUAUGAUAUAAUGUAUUACUGGUGCAAUUACUGUAAACUGAUGCACUGUACUGAAUUGAUGUGUAGUUGGGGAGAUAAGUUAAUUGAAUAAAUAUUUUAUCUAGUAAUUUUACUGGAUUGUUUAUCUCAAUACUUUCUCCCUGCGUCUGAUCCGAUCCCUCGCCUCGCCA